CCUACGGGUGGCAGCAGUAGGGAAUCUUGCUCAAUGGGGGAAACCCUGAAGCAGCAACGCCGCGUGGAGGAUGAAGGUUUUCGGAUCGUAAACCUCUGUUGGUAGAGAAGAAAAUGACGGUAUCUAACGAACAAGUACUGGCCAAUUCCGUCCUAGCAGCCGCGGUAAUACGUCGGGUGCAAACGUUAUCUGGAAUCACUGGGCGUAAAGCGCGCGUAGGCGGGUUAGCAAGUCAGAUGUGAAAUCCUAUGGCUUAACCAGAGAACUGCAUUUGAAACUGUUAUUCUGGAGUGUGGGAGAGGAGAGUGGAAUUCUUGGUGUAGGGGUGAAAUCCGUAGAGAUCUGGAGGAAUACUCGUUGCGAAGGCGACCUUCUAGAACAUAACUGACGCUGAGGCGCGAAAGCGUGGGUAGCAAACAGGAUUAGAUACCCUAGUAGUC
This 440-nucleotide ribosomal RNA is filed under the name uncultured bacterium. RNAcentral describes it as "partial 16S ribosomal RNA". It matches the Rfam family "Bacterial small subunit ribosomal RNA", at positions 338 to 795 of the family's 1533-position model. The record is from RNAcentral.